This 440-nucleotide ribosomal RNA is filed under the name uncultured bacterium. Its description in RNAcentral is "partial 16S ribosomal RNA". It matches the Rfam family "Bacterial small subunit ribosomal RNA", at positions 338 to 795 of the family's 1533-position model. The record is from RNAcentral.
CCUACGGGAGGCAGCAGUGGGGAAUAUUGGACAAUGGAGGAAACCCUGAUGCAGCGACGCCGCGUGCAGGAAGACGUAUUUAGGUAUUUAAAACUCUAUCAGCACGAAGGUAAAUGACGGUACGUGACUAAGACGCACCGUCUAAAUACGUGCCAGCAGCCGCGGGAAUACGUAGGGAGCAGGCGUUAUCCGGAUUUACUGGGUGUAAAGGGGGCGUAGGCGGCUUGAUAAGGCAGAGGUGAAAGGCCUGGGCUCAACCCCGGAACUGCCUUGGAAACUGUUGAGCUGGAGUGCAGGUGAGGUAAGCGGAAUGUCUGGUGUAGCGGUGAAAUGCGUAGAUAUUAGGAGGAACACCAGUGGCGAAGGCGGCUUACUGGACUAUAACUGACGUUGAGGCUCGAAAGCGUGGGGAGCAAACAGGAUUAGAUACCCGUGUAGUC